GGGCGACCCAGGAAUGCUUUCUGCCAGCAGCGAGUGUGUUUCCACACAUUCACCCAAGCCCGCUCCAUGGAGUUACAGCUGACAGCAUUUUAAAGAAAUAAUAUCUGCUAGAUGCAGAUGGACACUCUUAAUUAUGCCCAGUGAUGAGAUUAGGAUGGCCAAGCUGAAAUAG
Gallus gallus (chicken) is the source of this 172-nucleotide long non-coding RNA. RefSeq lists it as uncharacterized. NCBI's taxonomy places the organism in Eukaryota, Metazoa, Chordata, Aves, Galliformes, Phasianidae. The transcript is spliced from 2 exons. The record is from RefSeq and is a predicted model, not a curated record.